UACGGGGGAUGCAAGUGUUAUCCGGAAUCACUGGGCGUAAAGCGUCUGCAGGUGGUUUUUUAAGUCCACUGUUAAACCUUGAGGCUCAACCUCGAAUCUGCAUUGGAAACUAGGAGACUUGAGUAUAGUAGGGGUAGAGGGAAUUUCCAGUGGAGCGGUGAAAUGCGUAGAUAUUGGAAAGAACACCGAUGGCGAAGGCGCUCUACUGGGCUAUUACUGACACUCAGAGACGAAAGCUAGGGGAGCAAAUGGG
RNAcentral lists this ribosomal RNA (253 nucleotides) under uncultured bacterium. RNAcentral's name for it is "partial 16S ribosomal RNA". It matches the Rfam family "Bacterial small subunit ribosomal RNA", at positions 524 to 776 of the family's 1533-position model. The record is from RNAcentral.